GCCUGAGUGGUGAAAUUGGUAAACACAUCAGACUUAAAAUCUGACGACUGUAUAGUCUUGCCGGUUCAAGUCCGGCCUCAGGUACCA
Molecule: transfer RNA, 87 nt
Filed under: Candidatus Endolissoclinum sp. TMED37
Lineage: Bacteria; Pseudomonadati; Pseudomonadota; Alphaproteobacteria; Rhodospirillales; Rhodospirillaceae
Description: tRNA-Leu
Rfam family: tRNA
About the family: Transfer RNA (tRNA) molecules are approximately 80 nucleotides in length. Their secondary structure includes four short double-helical elements and three loops (D, anti-codon, and T loops).
Source: RNAcentral